CUACCCUACGGUCUGGGACAACAUCUCGAAAGGGGUGCUAAUACCGGAUAAGACCACACCAUCUUAUGGUGGAGUGGAAAAAGGUGGCCUCUUCAUGAAAGCUAUCGCCGAAGGAUGAGCUCGCGGCCCAUCAGCUAGUUGGUGAGGUAAUGGCUUACCAAGGCUAAGACGGGUAGCUGGUCUGAGAGGAUGAGCAGCCACACUGGAACUGAGACACGGUCCAG
Molecule: ribosomal RNA, 224 nt
Filed under: uncultured bacterium
Lineage: Bacteria
Description: partial 16S ribosomal RNA
Rfam family: Bacterial small subunit ribosomal RNA
Source: RNAcentral